Molecule: ribosomal RNA, 403 nt
Filed under: uncultured bacterium
Lineage: Bacteria
Description: bacterial SSU rRNA
Rfam family: Bacterial small subunit ribosomal RNA
Source: RNAcentral
GGGCCCGCACAAGCGGUGGAGUAUGUGGUUUAAUUCGAUGCAACGCGAAGAACCUUACCAGGGUUUGACAUCCUGCGAAUCUCUUGGAAACGAGAGAGUGCCUUCGGGAGCGCAGUGACAGGUGGUGCAUGGCUGUCGUCAGCUCGUGUCGUGAGAUGUUGGGUUAAGUCCCGCAACGAGCGCAACCCACGUCUUUAGUUGCCAGCAGGUUUGGCUGGGCACUCUAACGGGACCGCCGGUGUCAAGCCGGAGGAAGGUGGGGAUGACGUCAAGUCCUCAUGGCCCUUACGGGUAGGGCUACACACGUGCUACAAUGGCAGUGACAGUGAGUUAAUCUCCAAAAACUGCCUCAGUUCGGAUUGUCCUCUGCAACUCGAGGGCAUGAAGUUGGAAUCGCUAGUAA